CGCCACGUCCCACCUUCUCAGCCUCACAGGGACAGAAAGGAGCUCCAUGGCUUUGAAGUUGUGCGUGCUUUUUGCCAUUCAGGGGAAGGCAAGGCUGUGACAGCAGGUACACAGCAGCAGUGUGUACUUUCAGUGCACAGCAUGGAGUUAUUUUGGUCUUUCAAAAUCCGGUACCUAUGCUAUUUAUCCUUGAGCGUCUUUUACUAGCGCUGUGCCUAUUUAUACUCAUGCAACCAUAGCACCCUCCGUAAUGGCAAUAAUUCUUAAUGCAAUGGCAUUUGUAGCAGUGAGCAGAAAGCAGAAGCUGUUCCCCCUGAGUGGCCGGCUGUCCAGCGACGUUGGCAGUGUGUCAGAGAAGUCAGGAAGCCUUGGAAAAGAAAAGGAAAGAGGGAAACAGAACUCACAGGCCAAGAGGCAAAGGCAUUCCAAUAAAGGCUUAGUGGUUUUGCCAAGACAAUUAAAUUGUUUACAAGGAAUCAAGUUGGUUUGGAGGAAACUUGGAGAUCUGUGAAUGCCAAGAGCUCCUCAUCCUUACAAGGUAAAGGGCAUGUAAAAAAAUGUAAAAUCCCAUUUGAUAACAUUAUGCAAUAACCAAGGCACACAUAGCAUCUGGACCUGCAUGCUGUGUUGGAUGGUCCAGAGCCAAAGGUUUCCUCUGCUUACGUUUUGCCUCCCCUGCUACAGGCACAGCCAACUCCUUGCAAGAUUUCAGCCAGGCUCUUAGCCCUGCCUUUAAGAUAAAUGAACACAGC
Molecule: long non-coding RNA, 752 nt
Organism: Gallus gallus (chicken)
Lineage: Eukaryota; Metazoa; Chordata; Aves; Galliformes; Phasianidae
Source: Ensembl